Cyanistes caeruleus (blue tit) is the source of this 1721-nucleotide long non-coding RNA. Lineage: Eukaryota; Metazoa; Chordata; Aves; Passeriformes; Paridae. The record is from Ensembl.
CAAAAUUCCAUCAAAAGCAUCAGUCUUGUUGACAUGUUAUGGUGUCAAAGUCAGUUCCUUCACUGUGUAUGAUGGAACUUAUUUUUGAGCCUGGGGAAGAUGAUGUGACUGAAAGACAAGGUAAUUGGUAAUAGUUCAGGAUGAAGAAAGAUGCAGCUAAUGCCUGAGUCUCAGUAAAAAAAUUUGCUAUCAUGUCAAACUCUAUGCUGUGUCUACAAUAUUAAUUUUGUACUUCUUUAAGGCAAAACAAUGGUGGCAAAGGGGAAGAAAAAACUUGUGGCUACUCAUAAGAGAACCAUCAUGUGGAAAAAAGAAAACCUCCAGGCUUCUAGACAAGAUUCCACUUUCUGCAGCAUCCCUACCAACAUGUGGCAAAAAACAUCAGCAAAAAGUGAUAUUUAAAACAGUCUUUUUGCUACUACAAAUGAGUCACUUCUCAGAGUUGCCUAAAGGCAAUGUGCAAGGCGUGUUCUUUGGAAAGGAAAAGGUUAUAAGCAAGAGUAAGUACCAGAACUUAAAUUUCUCAUUCUGUGUUUGCUAUUACUGUAUGUAUUCCUGCCAUUAGAAGGAAGUUUUGAUUCCUUAUAAUCUCUUAAUAAUUAAGUUUAAAUAAGUGACAUUACAGACAAAAUUAAUUCUUUCUCCUGGACAGCUAUUGCCACCUUUAAUAUAAAAAGACAGUUCAGUGAAGAGAAGUGGAAACCAAAGUUAUUCUUUCUUUUCCCACACUUUUAAUAACUGGUAAUGAAGGUCAUGUCUUUGUCCAUGAAAUUGGAAAGCCAAACCUUAGUUCCUUAAUGUUGUAUGACAUCAGGAUAACUCUUUUAGCUUUCUAGGCUGAUUUAUUCCCUUAAAAUUAAUCAAACACUUCUUCCAUUAUCUCAAUAUUUUUUAUUCUAUUGUAUUCUAUUUAUUAAUUAUUUUUAAUUGUUCAGUAAUGCACAGAAGAUUGUUUGUUUUUCUGCUUCUAGCCAGAGUACAGUUCAUCUCAAACGGUCUUCUGUGGUUAUGGUGGGUUUCGGGGUUUUUUGGUGAUGUGUUAUUCCAGUGAUCUUUAAUGGCUUAGCUGUUAGAUGAUAUCACUUCUGAACUCUACUUUCAUUAUCAUAAAAUUGUUUCCACAUUUUCUGCAAAUAUUCAGAUUCUAUAGUGAGAUUGAAAAUGCAGGUGUUAAUAGUGUAGAAUCUUUCUAAUCUCCUUGGAGGAAGGGCUGAUGAAGGCUUGAAAGGUACAAACUAAAAAAAUAGUAAUGCUCUCCAUUCUAAAAUUCACAUUUUAUAAUGUGAAAGUCUAUGGUCAUUAGCAAAUGUGCAGUAAACUAAAUAACCUUCACAUAAAAUGUCACAUAUGAAGCCACACAGCUUGUUCACUGUAAUGAAACUUUCCACCUCUCUUUAAGGAUAUGAAUGCCAAAAGAUGCUCAACAGCUUGGAAAAAUAUCAGCAGAUAAGUGCCUGCAAUGAGCUAGUGAAGCAAGCAGCUGUACCACCUAGAAGCAAGCAAGCUGUCUUCUGAGGGGAGCCUGAUUCCACUCUACUGAUGGCAUUUUGUGUGAGGUUUAUGAAUACAGGAAUACUGGUCAUUCAGUGAUGUGAAACUAUCAUAUUAGACAUUGAUUUUAGUUUUUUUUUACAGAGCAUUGACUAACAAAUAUAGCAGUGGGGAAUUAAAUGGAUUGUUCUUGCUCCAAACAAUAAACAUCUAACUGUUUUUAAAAAACA